RNAcentral lists this ribosomal RNA (449 nucleotides) under uncultured bacterium. RNAcentral describes it as "partial 16S ribosomal RNA". It matches the Rfam family "Bacterial small subunit ribosomal RNA", at positions 29 to 523 of the family's 1533-position model. The record is from RNAcentral.
AGCGAACGCUGGCGGCAGGCUUAACACAUGCAAGUCGAACGGGCACUUCGGUGCUAGUGGCAGACGGGUGAGUAACGCGUGGGAACGUGCCUUUCGGUUCGGAAUAAUCCAGGGAAACUUGGACUAAUACCGGAUACGCCCUUCGGGGGAAAGAUUUAUCGCCGAAAGAUCGGCCCGCGUCUGAUUAGCUAGGUGGUGAGGUAAAGGCUCACCAAGGCGACGAUCGGUAGCUGGUCUGAGAGGAUGAUCAGCCACAUUGGGACUGAGACACGGCCCAAACUACUACGUGGGGCGGCAGUGGGGAAUAUUGGACCAUGGGCGCAAGCCUGAUCCAGCCAUGCCGCGUGAGUGAUGAAGGCCUUAGGGUUGUAAAGCUCUUUUGUCCGGGAAGAUAAUGACUGUACCGGAAGAAUAAGCCCCGGCUAACUUCGUGCCAGCCGCCGCCGUAA